RNAcentral lists this small RNA (138 nucleotides) under Chryseobacterium sp. AG363. Its description in RNAcentral is "Flavo-1 RNA". Lineage: Bacteria; Pseudomonadati; Bacteroidota; Flavobacteriia; Flavobacteriales; Weeksellaceae. The record is from RNAcentral.
CCCUAGCCCUGAUAGAAAUGGUUACCCCGCAGCUUGCGUCGGAGGGUGGGUUUUUGGUGUGGGACCUUCGGCUUCGCUCAGGGUGACAGCGUUGGAGUGCACGGGCGCGAGGAGUAGGAAUGGAUAGCAGGAAUUAAC